CUUUUACACGUUGUCUUUUAUAUGUUUCUUUUAUGUUGUCUAAUGUUGUUGUUUGAACAUUUUUCAGGAAACUGCUAAGAAUUCAGGAGUUGCUAAGGAAGAAUUAAUUCAGAAUUGCUCAUGAUAUCAGGGCCAAGCACAGCUGUAUAUACUCCAGUUCACACCUCAUUUGCAAUGGAGACAGUUUCCUGCAAGCCAUGGCUUUUGUACCAGCAUUUGGGAAAUGAAACAAGACGGAGUUUCUGAUCAUUUCAAACUGAGGGCUAGGAAUUGAAGAAAUAAUUAUUGUCACCCUGCUUAUUGGCAGAAUACGUUUUUCUGUAACUUUCUUUAUCCUUGAUUUUAGAAAGGAUCAGAAGCGUAUGAGUUUUUGUAUCUUCAUGUCCACAUAUAAGAAUUGAACAAAAAAGAUGUAUUAAUCAAGUGUAGAAAGCAAAAGAGCCAGAAGCAGAAGCCAGACAAAUUGUAAUGAUGAAUAAAAUACUUUCUCUUUUUCUUUUUAAACA
RNAcentral lists this long non-coding RNA (506 nucleotides) under Cyanistes caeruleus (blue tit). RNAcentral describes it as "lncRNA (ENSCCEG00000009619.1)". The record is from RNAcentral. Lineage: Eukaryota; Metazoa; Chordata; Aves; Passeriformes; Paridae.